GGCUAAGGAGAUGCAUGGUCUGCCUCGGUUUUCAUGACCAGUACCCCCUCAUGCCGCGCGCGCUCUUCCUUUGUUUACCAGAAUUUUCGUACGACAGGUGCUGCUAUGCGUGCAACCAUCCUUCUUAAUUUGUAUGCCUGAUGAAAUCCUGAAAACAAAAUUGAGAGGAUUUGUUUGUUACUACUAAAUAAAUGUCAAGGGAAGGUACAUAUUUCUAAAAUAAAGGAGAGAGA
This 233-nucleotide long non-coding RNA is filed under the name Hordeum vulgare. RNAcentral's name for it is "long non-coding RNA (HVUL_LNC016389)". Lineage: Eukaryota; Viridiplantae; Streptophyta; Magnoliopsida; Poales; Poaceae. The record is from RNAcentral.